This is a non-coding RNA of Pteropus vampyrus (large flying fox), 229 nucleotides long. The record is from Rfam. NCBI's taxonomy places the organism in Eukaryota, Metazoa, Chordata, Mammalia, Chiroptera, Pteropodidae.
ACAGCUUUGGACAAAAGUCUAUAGCCAGUGCAUUUGAAACUCCCCUUGCACAAGGGCUGACUGUAGCUGGGGGAAGACAGUUUACUCAUUUGCUCUCUCCUUUCAUGCAGUCAGCUGGCCCUCUUCUCAGGUGUAGAUCACCUAUUAUCACUUCACCUGUUUUGAUUCUCUGAUGAGGAAAGUCCCAGGACUUACCAGCUGGGAUAGGCCUCAUUUACAAGACAGCUCU